GUGCUCAUUUCGGGAGCACAUAUACUAAAAAUUAGAAUGAUACAGAGAAGAUUAGUAUGUCUCCUGCUCAAGGAUGUCACACAAAUUCAUAAAGUGUUCCAUACUUUU
This is a small nuclear RNA of Jaculus jaculus (lesser Egyptian jerboa), 108 nucleotides long. The record is from Ensembl. Lineage: Eukaryota; Metazoa; Chordata; Mammalia; Rodentia; Dipodidae.